GAAGGGGCCUAGCGUAGUUCGGAUUUACUGGGCUUAAAGAGUUCGUAGGUGGUUGAAAAAGUUAGUGGUGAAAUCCCAGAGCUUAACUCUGGAACUGCCACUAAAACUUUUCAGCUAGAGUAUGAUAGAGGAAAGCAGAAUUUCUAGUGUAGAGGUGAAAUUCGUAGAUAUUAGAAAGAAUACCAAUUGCGAAGGCAGCUUUCUGGAUCAUUACUGACACUGAGGAACGAAAGCAUGGGUAGCGAAGAGGAUUAGAUACCCUCGUAGUCCAUGCCGUAAACGAUGUGUGUUAGACGUUGGAAAUUUAUUUUCAGUGUCGCAGGGAAACCGAUAAACACACCGCCUGGGGAGUACGACCGCAAGGUUAAAACUCAAAUGAAUUGACGGGGACCCGCACAAGUAGUGGAGCAUGUGGUUUAAUUCGAAGAUACGCGCAGAACCUUACCAACACUUGACAUGUUCGUCGCGACUCUAAGAGAUUAGAGUUUUCGGUUCGGCCGGACGAAACACAGGUGCUGCAUGGCUGUUGUCAGCUCGUGUCGUGAGAUGUUGGGUUAAGUCCCGCAACGAGCGCAACCCUCACUUUUAGUUGCCAUCAUUAAGUUGGGCACUCUGAAAGAACUGCCAGUGAUAAGCUGGAGGAAGGUGGGGAUGACGUCAAGUCCUCAUGGCCCUUACGUGUUGGGCUACACACGUGCUACAAUGGUAUCUACAACAGGAAGCAAGACUGCGAAGUUAAGCAAAUCCCUAAAAGAUACCUCAGUUCGGAUUGCACUCUGCAACUCGAGUGCAUGAAGCUGGAAUUACUAGUAAUCGUGGAUCAGCGUGCCACGGUGAAUGCGUUCCCGGGUCUU
This 854-nucleotide ribosomal RNA is filed under the name uncultured organism. Its description in RNAcentral is "bacterial SSU rRNA". It matches the Rfam family "Bacterial small subunit ribosomal RNA", at positions 527 to 1382 of the family's 1533-position model. The record is from RNAcentral.